Molecule: ribosomal RNA, 274 nt
Filed under: Bacillus thuringiensis
Lineage: Bacteria; Bacillati; Bacillota; Bacilli; Caryophanales; Bacillaceae
Description: partial 16S ribosomal RNA
Rfam family: Bacterial small subunit ribosomal RNA
Source: RNAcentral
UUUAUUGGAGAGUUUGAUCCUGGCUCAGGAUGAACGCUGGCGGCGUGCCUAAUACAUGCAAGUCGAGCGAAUGGAUUAAGAGCUUGCUCUUAUGAAGUUAGCGGCGGACGGGUGAGUAACACGUGGGCAACCUGCCCAUAAGACUGGGAUAACUCCGGGAAACCGGGGCUAAUACCGGAUAACAUUUUGAACCGCAUGGUUCGAAAUUGACAGGCGGCUUCGGCUGUCACUUAUGGAUGGACCCGCGUCGCAUUAGCGAGUUGGUGAGGUAACG